This 425-nucleotide ribosomal RNA is filed under the name uncultured bacterium. RNAcentral describes it as "partial 16S ribosomal RNA". It matches the Rfam family "Bacterial small subunit ribosomal RNA", at positions 354 to 796 of the family's 1533-position model. The record is from RNAcentral.
GUGGGGAAUCUUGCGCAAUGGGCGAAAGCCUGACGCAGCCAUGUCGCGUGAAUGAUGAAGGUCUUAGGAUUGUAAAAUUCUUUCACCGGGGACGAUAAUGACGGUACCCGGAGAAGAAGCCCCGGCUAACUUCGUGCCAGCAGCCGCGGUAAUACGAAGGGGGCUAGCGUUGCUCGGAAUUACUGGGCGUAAAGGGCGCGUAGGCGGACAGUUUAGUCAGAGGUGAAAGCCCAGGGCUCAACCUUGGAAUUGCCUUUGAUACUGGCUGUCUUGAGUACGGGAGAGGUGAGUGGAACUCCGAGUGUAGAGGUGAAAUUCGUAGAUAUUCGGAAGAACACCAGUGGCGAAGGCGACUCACUGGCCCGUUACUGACGCUGAGGCGCGAAAGCGUGGGGAGCAAACAGGAUUAGAAACCCGGGUAGUCC